AGUCAAGUAAUUAAGUGCAUGUGGUGGAUGCCUUGGCAGUCAGAGGCGAUGAAAGACGUGAUAGCCUGCGAAAAGCUCCGGGGAGGCGGCAAAUAUCCUUUGAUCCGGAGAUGUCUGAAUGGGGGAACCCACCUACUUUAAGGUAGGUAUUGCAACAUGAAUACAUAGUGUUGCAAGGCGAACGAGGGGAAGUGAAACAUCUCAGUACCCUUAGGAAAAGAAAUCAAUUGAGAUUCCCUCAGUAGCGGCGAGCGAACGGGGAUCAGCCCAUUAAGUUAUGUGUGUUUUAGUGGAACGCUCUGGGAAGUGCGAACGUAGAGGGUGAUAUUCCCGUACACGAAAGGGCACACAUAAUGAUGACGAGUAGGGCGAGGCACGUGAAACCUUGUCUGAAUAUGGGGGGACCAUCCUCCAAGGCUAAAUACUCCUGACUGACCGAUAGUGAACCAGUACCGUGAGGGAAAGGCGAAAAGAACCCCUGUGAGGGGAGUGAAAUAGAUCCUGAAACC
Molecule: ribosomal RNA, 509 nt
Filed under: Acinetobacter baumannii
Lineage: Bacteria; Pseudomonadati; Pseudomonadota; Gammaproteobacteria; Moraxellales; Moraxellaceae
Description: partial 23S ribosomal RNA
Rfam family: Bacterial large subunit ribosomal RNA
Source: RNAcentral